UACGUAGGUGACCAGCGUUGUCCGGAUUUACUGGGCGUAAAGAGCGCGCAGGCGGUCGUUCAAGUCGAGUGUGAAAGCCCCCGGCUCUACUGGGGAGGGUCACUCGAUACUGAUCGACUUGAAGGCAGGAGAGGGAAGCGGAAUUCCCGGUGUAGUGGUGAAAUGCGUAGAUAUCGGGAGGAACACCAGUGGCGAAGGCGGCUUCCUGGCCUGUUCUUGACGCUGAGGCGCGAAAGCUAGGGGAGCAAACGGG
Molecule: ribosomal RNA, 253 nt
Filed under: uncultured bacterium
Lineage: Bacteria
Description: partial 16S ribosomal RNA
Rfam family: Bacterial small subunit ribosomal RNA
Source: RNAcentral